CUUGACACCAUUCAUCUGUGUGUUUUUGACUUGCAUCUUGACUCAGUGCCUGCCCUCCUGAACCCUACCCUUCCUGCCAAAAAGUUUGGUUAGACCUUCUCCACUCCACCCUGUACACACCCAUACUGUACUGGAAGUGAAUCUACUCUCCUACUGCAUUAUGUUUCACACCAAAUUUGAUUUCAUGAUGCAUAUCACUUUUUAUACACACCUUAAUGAGCUGCCCAUCUCCUGUCCCAAUGAAGAAAACCACCCAGGCCUUCUGUCUCACUGCCAGCACAGAGGUCAUGUAGUUCUGUCUGAAGAGCACCGCCUUUGGCUUCAGAGGCUUUGACUGAGAGAGACAAAAACGCUGAUCAUCAGAUUUGGAUCCAAAAGGCUAUUACAACAACCCACCGUGGAUCUUGACUUCUCAGGGCAGGUGAUGCAGAAGUCUGGAUCCGCAUCGGCCGCUCCGGUGAGAUCAGGGCUGACGUCAAACACUACCAGCUCGGUGUCGGUUUGUCCUCCGUCCACACUGAACACGCCGCUCCAGAGCACCGGCGGCCCACCCGGGAUCACCGAGGAGGCCACGAGUCUGCUGCCUUUACCACCAUCAGAGAUACUGAGAGUCGCGCCCCGCAGCGACUUAAAAGUAUGGGUUUUGCCUGUUUUUCCCUCAAGCCAAAUAAGACGGACUCUUUUGCUUUUGUCCUUUGAUGGCACGUUGGAGAAAAGAUAAAUGGUUAAGUUGAUCUGAAAUCCAUCAACAAACUCCACCUCGCCUUCACGUUUGAUCUGAGCUUGAGAAGUCUCGCCACCAUGGGAAAAUAUAUCUCCAUUCUGGUUUUUAUUCGUAUUAUGAAGGUUCAGAACGGCUGAUCCAGAGAGGCAGCUGGUCUCUGUGGUUUUGUCGGGUUGCUGUAAGGCAGUCAGAAUAUAAGUUUCGAGCUGGGUCUGAGUCUUCUCCACGUCCACCAGGAAGCCAACGGACGCAUUGCUGCGCCCUGCGGGUCCCACCUGGAUGGCCUCGCUAUGCAACACGUGGGAAAUGUUUUGCAGGUCCAGCACCUCGCAGUAGCCGCACCUGAUCACACCGCAGCUGAUCAGAGUUUUAUUCUUAACGAACGGCAACACCACAUUGACACUGAAAGUUGCGUUCCAUUCAUCCGUCUCAGAAAUCCGGUAUAACUGCUCAUCACCGGACUCAGGCCCCACCUUCAAGAUUCCUCUCAGGGUCAGGCUCUGGACCAGAGUCAGGUCGUGGCUCAGCUGGUACAGCCUCUCAUCUGUAGCGAUGUAAACCGUGUUGGUGGCCACGGCGAAGUGGCGGAAAUCUCCAUGAAAUGUAAAGCUUCCUCCCUCUUCCAGGCACCGACCCGGUUCUCCCCAGAGAAUGAGCAACAGACCAGACAGCAGGAUCAUCUUCUUGCAGCGGUGGCAGCAAAACGUUCACACAAUGACGAUCAUGGCACUCUGCUCUCUGCCAGUGUCACUGGAGUCGUGCGUAAAAGCGCAGUGCGCCUCUGGUGAAAGGAGAAGUGCUGAAAGUGGGAGGGAGCGGGCCCAGCGAAACCGAAAACUAACACUUUAUUUAUUUCUGAGAUAUUAUGAGGUAAUAUUCUCUUUUGCAGCAUUAAUGUUUUCACUCAACUGUAAGUGUCCUACAAGUUUUCAAAAUAAUUUCAUACAAUUUUAGUCUAACCCCCCGGGCGUUUGAUAAAUCCACUUUCAACAAUUCACAUGAUGAUAUCCACAUCAAGAAGAACCAAUACGGCGGCAGGGACUUCUGAGUGAAGCUAUAUGGCCCAUGCGAUAUGAGAAUUGUCCUUAACCAUCAAUUAAAGGGAUCUGACAGUGAUUUGCAUGGCAUAUUUGAUGCCUAUCCGACAUCCCCCGUUUUAGGUGAAAGAAACAAUAGGCUACAGUGUGAUUUAGUGCCAUAUGCAGAGAGCUCUGAGAAAAUGCUGUAAAUGAUGCCUCCUCACUUUCCUCAACAAAUGUG
Long non-coding RNA from Micropterus dolomieu (smallmouth bass), 1984 nucleotides. RefSeq lists it as uncharacterized. The transcript has 3 exons. The record is from RefSeq and is a predicted model, not a curated record. Lineage: Eukaryota; Metazoa; Chordata; Actinopteri; Centrarchiformes; Centrarchidae.